UACGUAGGGUGCGAGCGUUAAUCGGAAUUACUGGGCGUAAAGCGUGCGCAGGCGGUUCGUUAAGUCAGAUGUGAAAGCCCGGGCUCAACCUGGGAACUGCAUUUGAAACUGGCGGGCUUGAGUGUGGCAGAGGGGGGUGGAAUUCCGCGUGUAGCAGUGAAAUGCGUAGAGAUGCGGAGGAACACCGAUGGCGAAGGCAGCCCCCUGGGCUGACACUGACGCUCAGGCACGAAAGCGUGGGGAGCAAACAGG
This 252-nucleotide ribosomal RNA is filed under the name uncultured bacterium. RNAcentral's name for it is "partial 16S ribosomal RNA". It matches the Rfam family "Bacterial small subunit ribosomal RNA", at positions 524 to 776 of the family's 1533-position model. The record is from RNAcentral.